ACUCCUACGGGAGGCAGCAGUGGGGAAUCCUAGACAAUGGGGGCGAACCCUGAUCUAGCCAUGCCGCGUGAGUGAUGAAGGCCUUAGGUUGUAAAGCUCUUUCAGCUGGGAAGAUAAUGACGGUACCAGCAGAAGAAGCCCCGGCUAACUCCGUGCCAGCAGCCGCGGUAAUACGGAGGGGGCUAGCGUUGUUCGGAAUUACUGGGCGUAAAGCGCACGUAGGCGGACCAGAAAGUUGGGGGUGAAAUCCCGGGGCUCAACCCCGGAACUGCCUUCAAAACUAUUGGUCUGGAGUUCGAGAGAGGUGAGUGGAAUACCGAGUGUAGAGGUGAAAUUCGUAGAUAUUCGGUGGAACACCAGUGGCGAAGGCGGCUCACUGGCUCGAUACUGACGCUGAGGUGCGAAAGCGUGGGAGCAAACAGGAUUAGAUACCCUGGUAGGAUAGCG
This 447-nucleotide ribosomal RNA is filed under the name uncultured bacterium. RNAcentral's name for it is "bacterial SSU rRNA". It matches the Rfam family "Bacterial small subunit ribosomal RNA", at positions 335 to 799 of the family's 1533-position model. The record is from RNAcentral.